Long non-coding RNA from Betta splendens (Siamese fighting fish), 2570 nucleotides. RefSeq lists it as uncharacterized. The transcript has 3 exons. The record is from RefSeq and is a predicted model, not a curated record. Lineage: Eukaryota; Metazoa; Chordata; Actinopteri; Anabantiformes; Osphronemidae.
ACAUCACUGUGGUAAGAGAGUAGGAAGAUCUCAGCAAUGAUGGCAACAGGACAAACAAAAAGAUGCCUAAAGAAACAAAAGGCACUGCACAACGGGGGAGAGCUCAAUAAUAACAUCACACAGCAGGAACACAGACGCUGACAACUUAGUAUUAUUAUACUUCACCGACAUACUUCAUGAUUUGAACAGUCAACACCCACUGAUUUUCAAUGGGUGUUGACUAAAACCAUGUCAGGUAGUCCUCUGUAAAAGGCCCCUAACACAACUCGGGAUUGAUUGCCACGUGACUACAACUAGUGCUUCCUGGUUUCCUCUGUACCUGCCCCUGCAACGGUCAGGCUGAGAGGGGGCGGGGCCAGGCGGAGAGGGGGCGGGGCCAGACUGCUGGAGACCAACUGCUCAGUCUGCCAUUGUUUUCCAUGUACAGCAGUAAUAUUCAAUGGCCGGAGGUCCCGCUGUAGAUUAUUUAGAAGACAGCGAGUUCUACAGCACAGUCCGAUAUUUGUGCUUGGUUGUAUGAUCCAGCGUGCAGCCGACAAGCAUUACCCCAUAUGGAGAGGAAAACAAGGCAAGGACCCGGCAGCCAUGAUCCAUGAAACACAGCUAAAUGUCCCAGUGCUUCAGUGAAUCUACCCAGCCGGUUUGUCUUGGUUGAUGUUGCAGAUUCUACUGGGAACAUAAUUGUGCGUAUUAGUUGUGAUCAGUUUUGAGCUAUAUGUGGUCAGAGGAGUGGUUGAAACUAUUUUCAGGAUGCCAAGAAGAAAGCAGAAGAAACAGGUGUGACAGAACGGUCAAAUGAGCACUGAAUGCAAGCGUAGCCUGCAGGGCAGCUAUCAGAGGCAGCUUUCUGCACCUUCAUGUUGAGGCCAGCGUUGAAGGCUGGGCAGCGUGUUCCUUGGGUCUUGGCGUUGUUCUCAGGCAAGUUCCAACAAGAACACAUUUUUGCUUUUUCGCUUUUUCAUUCUUUCUCUGAACUUGUCCCCGACAAGCGUGUGGAAAAGUUAUAAAAGUUAAUAGAUGCACUUCCAACUCACCAAUGUUCGUUUCACCGUGAUAUAAACCAGAUGUCUCGCUUCACGGCUGCUUUUCAUUAUGCGUUGGCAAAUGCAUCUCAUGCAUGUAUUGAGCUCCUGGAUGCUGGUGGCGUUGAAACCGCAGGAUUGCGUGAGUGAAGAUGUUCUUGAUGCAUCCUCACACUGUCACGUUCUCCUCCACACUCAGCAUCCAACAUGCAGCACGUGAACGUAAAUCGAAGUUUAAGCUCGAACACGUCCCCCGAAAUUUUAUAACUGAACAACUGCAUUGAGCAGCGCCCAGUUUAAACAGGUGGACAUCUCCAGUAAAUGCCCUGUCGUGCAUCCACUGCACGGCAAAGUCAGGUGUCGUGCGUUGUGCAACCAGAGGAACACAUGGUUGUGCUGCCGCUGCUGGUGCUGGUGUUUAAACAAAACCCUGGGUUAGCGUUCUGGUUGGGUAGGUUUAAAGAAAGUACAGUUCUUUAGUGGAGUUAUGUGAAACAACAACAGCGUGAGGUGACGGCCUCUGAGUGAAAGGACGGCACACAACAGGAUGCCUCUAGUUACAUUCAUCAGCCAAAGAUUGUGAGAUUUGUUGGCAUUCAAUUAUACACACACAGUGACACAUAUUGCACAACCUUGAAAUCAAUCAUUGCUUUCUCCAAGUAAUGAAGAAAUAACAAUCGAACGGAUGCGAUCAUUAUAAAUCCUCACCAACGAGGUUAUUUGUUUAAUUAGUCGCUGUCAGAAGUGAUGAAUGACAGGUAUCGUCAGGCUUCAGGCGAAGUGUGCAGUUGCUUAGAUGCAACUGUUUAGUGUAUCCAUACAAAUUCACAGCAAAAUUCAUCUCGGGGCAUUUUAAAAUUAUAGAGAAGGAUCCAAUAAACCCCCCUGAGCGGGCGCCAAGGGGCACAGCACAGGAAAAGCUAGUUUGAAUCUGUUGUGUUGCAUUUAACCAUUGCUUUGGCUCCAGCUCCCUGUGACCCUGCUGAGGAUAAACUGCCUGAUAAUGAGUGCAUGGGAAACUCAGCACUCAGGAACUAGUUCUUUGUUUAUGUUUGUCUGAUCCAGGUUUUAGGGUUAGUGCAUCUCAACCUACUGUUUUACAGGCACAUAACCUAACAUGAGCGUGGUCCGUGCAGCCCAGGCGUCUGCCUCCAUCAUCAGUUAACGCUUGGUGCCAGGUCUUAUUGGACGUACUGGUCUGUUGUGUGUUUCCAGUGGUUGACAACCAGCCGCUAACGCUCUGUAUUCCCAUGACGACGCAACAUUGACCGUCUCCUUCUGUUAAAGUUGCUUAAAGUGAUCAGAGGUCAUGUCUCACUGUGAAGUUCAUCAUGUCAGGCUCCCUUGAAGAACGGAGCUGUGCCUGUGGUCACACCCAAAGUCUCUCUCAGAGGUUUAUGGGGUUUUAACCUUCACCUGCAUUCAGAUCUCCUCAGACUUUAUUAUGGUCGAACUGCUGCUGCAUGCAAACUCAGUACCUGACUUCAACAACACAACCUUUCUGCUUCAUUUGUCUUACAGGCGCAAUAAAAAGCACAGUUAACAAUU